AGGAUGAACGCUGGCGGCGUGCUUAACACAUGCAAGUCGAACGGUGAAAGAGAGCUUGCUCUCUGGAUCAGUGGCGAACGGGUGAGUAACACGUGAGUAACCUGCCCUUGACUCUGGGAUAAGCACUGGAAACGGUGUCUAAUACCGGAUACGACUUCCGAAGGCAUCUUCUGGAAGUGGAAAGAAUUUCGGUCAAGGAUGGACUCGCGGCCUAUCAGCUAGUUGGUGAGGUAACGGCCCACCAAGGCGACGAC
RNAcentral lists this ribosomal RNA (254 nucleotides) under uncultured bacterium. RNAcentral describes it as "partial small subunit ribosomal RNA". It matches the Rfam family "Bacterial small subunit ribosomal RNA", at positions 26 to 280 of the family's 1533-position model. The record is from RNAcentral.